RNAcentral lists this ribosomal RNA (488 nucleotides) under uncultured bacterium. RNAcentral's name for it is "partial 16S ribosomal RNA". It matches the Rfam family "Bacterial small subunit ribosomal RNA", at positions 28 to 507 of the family's 1533-position model. The record is from RNAcentral.
GACGAACGCUGGCGGCGUGCUUAACACAUGCAAGUCGAACGCGCCUGUCCUCUGGGUUUCUGGGGGGUGGGUGAGUGGCGAACGGGUGAGUAACACGUGAGUAACCUGCCCCCUUCUUCGGGAUAACGGUCUGAAAGGGCUGCUAAUACCGGGUAUUCACUGGUCUCCGCAUGGGGUCUGGUGGAAAGGUUUUUUUCUGGUGGGGGAUGGGCUCGCGGCCUAUCAGCUUGUUGGUGGGGUGAUGGCCCACCAAGGCUUUGACGGGUAGCCGGCCUGAGAGGGUGACCGGUCACAGUGGGACUGAGAUACGGCCCAGACUCCUACGGGAGGCAGCAGUGGGGAAGAUUGCACAAUGGGCGCAAGCCUGAUGCAGCGACGCCGCGUGAGGGAUGGAGGCCUUCGGGUUGUGAACCUCUUUCGCCCGUGGUCAAGCCGCGACGUGGGUCGUAGUGAGGGUAGUGGGUAAAGAAGCGCCGGCUAACUACGUG